Molecule: ribosomal RNA, 105 nt
Filed under: Cineraria albicans
Lineage: Eukaryota; Viridiplantae; Streptophyta; Magnoliopsida; Asterales; Asteraceae
Description: partial 18S ribosomal RNA
Rfam family: Eukaryotic small subunit ribosomal RNA
Source: RNAcentral
GGUUCGCCGCCGGCGACGUCUCKAKAAUUCCACUGAACCUUAUCAUUUAGAGGAAGGAGAAGUCGUAACAAGGUUUCCGUAGGUGAACCUGCGGAAGGAUCAUUG